Molecule: unclassified non-coding RNA, 168 nt
Filed under: soil metagenome
Description: partial contains 5.8S ribosomal RNA, internal transcribed spacer 2, and large subunit ribosomal RNA
Source: RNAcentral
AACUGAUACUACCUGCGGGAACCUGCGGAAGGAUCAUUGGUGAACGCCCUCACGGGCUUAUAACUAUUCCAAACCUCUGUGAACCGUGCCCUUCGGGGCUAUUUUACAAACAUGGUGUAAUGAACGUCAUAUAUCAUAACAAAACAAAACUUUCAACAAUGGAUCUCU